This 2374-nucleotide long non-coding RNA is filed under the name Homo sapiens (human). RNAcentral describes it as "HSALNT0367453". The record is from RNAcentral. Lineage: Eukaryota; Metazoa; Chordata; Mammalia; Primates; Hominidae.
UAGAAAUUUUCUUUUUAUUUCUUUCUCUAUAUUAUUAUUAUUUUUUCUUUCUCUUUCCUUUUUUCCAUCUCCCCAGCAGGUAUAACUAUAGAGAAUGUUGAGUAGAGUUGUUUGGCUUUGCUUCUAUAGCUGUAUGCACUUCUGAUGGCAACUUUUAUACUGGGCUGUGCGCUUCAAACUCUAAGCCUGUAGAUGGCACUUAUAGGUAUGAGCUGGUUGCAGCCAAUUUGGGGAUAUACUUGACCUUUGUUUACUGGGAGAAGCUCCCUGUUGCUUCAGGUAAAUGGGCUGAUCCAUGGAGUGCACAGUGGUCUGAGCUUCCUGUUUAGCCCCUGGUGAGUGGGGGACAUGAUGGAUGGAGCUGGACCAGGCGAGUCUGCCUACAGGCUCCAGGGACAAGCACAAGUGCUGAGGGAGAAUCCAGUGAGCAGCCAUCAAGUACCUAGAGGUGCACCUAGGCAUGGAGCUGGGAAACCUCUUUAGCCCCAAGUUCACUGCACAGGGAUGGGGGAUGGCCUAAACUCCUUAUCCAGGAGAGGGGGCACUCCAGGUGCCUGGAGAUCUGCCUGGGUGUGGAGUGAAGAGGUCCCUGCUUCACCAGGAUCUCUAUAUAGGAAGAAUGGCAUAGGUCAGAAUGCCAAUCCAGGUGAGUGGGUACUUUGAAUACCUGGAGAUCUGCCUAUUGUGGAGCAGAGAAAGCCCCGUUUCACCACAAUCUAUACUCAGGAAGGUUGAGGUGGCUCAAGCUGCUGAACUAAGCAAAUGGGUCCUCCAAAUGCCUGGAGAUCUGCCUGGGCAUGGAGCAGAAAAGGCCCCACUAUAUCUUGAUCUAUGUCUAUGAAGGGUGGGGCAGCUCAGGCUGCUGGUCCAGGCAAACAGGUACUCCAAAUGCCUGGAUUUCUGCCUGUGGCUAGAGUGGAUAGGGCCCCACUGCACCAUGAUCUCAGGGGAACAGGAUGGAGCACCCAGAAAUGGCGUGCACAGACUGGUUCCAAGUCACUAAGCUGACCCUGGCUGCAAGUCUUGCUGCUCAGGAGAAACUGCAGUGGUAGCAGCUCCCAUCCCAUCCUAGUCUUGCAAUGGGGAAUAACAAAAUUCCAGUGCCUACUGCUGAGGUACUUUUCAUAGUUCUAGCUCUGGAGACCCCUAUGCCACUCUAGAGCAGGCACUCCAGUCUCUGACCUGAGACUAAAAUGCCUGCAUGGCUACACUGCCAGGUUGCUAAAGAAUGGCUGACUUUAUGUCCCUGGGUUAAAACACAUCCUGCUUUUGGUCCCAGGUCUGGGAAAAUGCCUGUAGUGUUCCCCAGUGUCUUUUUUCUCAUAGCAUCUCCAAGCUCCUCCCCAGGUUGGCUGCAAGGCUUAGGAUAAACAAGGUGUCCUCCCUUGGCCUGGGUUGCUCGGAUCCCCAGUGGAAAGGUAAGUAACAGAGGGAGGCUGUCUGCCUGUCUCACAUACUGGGGUUUCACUCACUUUUCUCAGCCAGAUGCUUUCAUGGGGUCCGUUUGCCCACAUUUUCCUCUCUGGGAUCUGAGGUGUCCUUCAUGAUUCUGGUGAAUCCCCAUUUUCCUUCUUGAAUUAAUGCCACAGAGUUGAUCUUUAUGCACUAUCUUGCUAUUUCCAAGUGACUGAGGCAUGCUAAAAGGGUGUAAUCCACCAUCUUGUGAAAAAAAGCGUGGUAAUCUUAUUGUGGGUCUUGGGUGAAGAAUUGUUUUUUUCUUGCUACAUUUAGAGUUUUCUCUUUAUCCUUUGUUUGAUUUUGAUGUGCCUAGGUGUGGAUCUGUUUCAGUUUAUCCUACUUAGAGAUUGUUGAGCUUCUUGGAUGUUGAGCUUCUUGGACAUGAAGAUUAAUGUUUUUCAUCAAAUUCCUAGUAAGCCCUGAUAAACUGACUCAUACAAGAUGGGAAUGCCUACCAUGAAAUGCUGAGAUGGGAUAUGACAGUGACAACAAAGGCUGCUGCUGUAAUGUGAUCUCUCCAGAUGGGUUCUUUCAUCUUAGGUAAAAAGGUAUUGGUUUUGAAAAUGCUCCCAAGGAAAGCUGCAUACAAAUAUCCAUCUCAGAGUCUAAUUCCAAGGAACCCAGUCCAGAUGGCUGCCUUCCAGAGUCUGGGUUCUCUGCCACUGUUUGAUAUUGGUCAGUCCCUGGACUGUGAGCUCCCUGAGGACACACAGUGCUACAUCAAGUUACUUGGAGCCCUAGGACAACUUCCAUCUCAAGUGAUCCUCUUCCAUAUCAGGGAAUCAUCAAAUGCUUGCUGAAUAAAUUGCCACCCUCUUUGGACUUUGAAAAACGAAGUAUCCUUUUCUCAAAAAUAUGUAGGAGAAUAACAUUUAUACCCUGUAUUAGUUUUUUAGAGCUGCCAUAACAAAAUGCC